This 629-nucleotide long non-coding RNA is filed under the name Malus domestica (apple). RNAcentral's name for it is "long non-coding RNA (MDOM_LNC015361)". The record is from RNAcentral. Lineage: Eukaryota; Viridiplantae; Streptophyta; Magnoliopsida; Rosales; Rosaceae.
CUGCAGGUGGAGUUCGCUGGCAAGUCAUGUGGGCACUAGUUUGAAGCACUAGUGAUAAGCUCAUAUUUAUAUAUAUUUUACAUAAAAUUCACUUGUCUUUUCUUAGUUAGUUCCUUAUAUUUUUGACCUAUUUACUAUGUUUUUGUAUUUUGUGUGAUUUAUCAAGCAAAGAAAAGAAAAGUAGCACAAGUGAAUUAUUAAGUAACAAAUUCGUCAAAACUGCCUGUGCAUAUUAGCUGACUUUGAAAGCAUGUUACGAACAGCUCAGAAUGAAUGAGAAAAUGUGCCUUAUAUGCGUGGAAAGCUACAGAUGUCUACUUUCUGGAGCAAUUUACGGAUUGUUAAUAUCAUUUUUCAAGAAGAAGUUAUGGGCAUUGUAACACUGAAAGGUUCAGAAACAUCGACAGCACAUACAAAGAGAAAGGCAAGGCAUGGACAGUUUGACAUGGCAGAAAAUGUGUGUGUUUUGUGGUUGAAAUGAUGCAAAGAACAUGUAUGUGUGCAAGUGUAAUGGCAAAGCAAAGAAACAUGGCAGCAAACCCACAUGCAAAGUGGAAGAAAAGCACAAGGCAUGGGCAGAAAUUUGGUGUGUUUUGUGGUUGAAAUGAUGAAGCAUGUGUGUAUAAAUG